This is a non-coding RNA of Anas platyrhynchos (mallard), 600 nucleotides long. NCBI's taxonomy places the organism in Eukaryota, Metazoa, Chordata, Aves, Anseriformes, Anatidae. The record is from RefSeq and is a predicted model, not a curated record.
AACAGUAAAAAAAAUCCACCUGCCUUUAAAGUUAUCCAUAUAAAUACCCACAGUUUCUCUCUUUAUUGUCAUGGGAUGCAGAUGUCCUGGCUGAAGCAUAACACUGCAGAGGGACCACAGAGCACACAGCUCGUGGCCACCACCGGGGUUGCAGCCCCUGCUUUGCCACCAGCCCCACCACCAGCCACAUCUUCUGUGCCUUCCUUUCUGCUCCUGCAGAGCGGAUAGGCCUGCCUGAAUUCAUCCCUGCAAUUCAUCUAACAAUUGAAAAAGUUGAGCUGAACUUGUAAGCGAACGUAAAUGGGAUCGGUCACGAUUCAGGCAGGAGAGAUCCCGUACCUGGGAUGACUGAGACUGAGCCAUGAAACCCAACACAAGGAGCUUGUGCAGGAGGGAAUCUGAAAGCUUCCUGAGCUCUCACAGGGCAUCUGUAUAUGGAGUAAACUCCAGUUACAUCUGUUGUAGUGGAGUCUUACUCUUAGGGUGUUGCAAGGGCAGCAUUACUGGAGACUGACUCCAGCCUAAUAACAUCCUGGGUCCUUCAGAAACUACCACUGAGCAGGCAUAUCUGAGAGCUGGGGCAGGUACUGAUACUGCCCG